UGGGGAAUAUUGCACAAUGGGCGAAAGCCUGAUGCAGCAACGCCGCGUGAGUGAUGAAGGUCUUCGGAUUGUAAAGCUCUGUCUUUUGGGACGAUAAUGACGGUACCAAAGGAGGAAGCCACGGCUAACUACGUGCCAGCAGCCGCGGUAAUACGUAGGUGGCGAGCGUUGUCCGGAUUUACUGGGCGUAAAGGGUGCGUAGGCGGAUGUUUAAGUGAGAUGUGAAAUACCCGGGCUUAACUUGGGUGCUGCGUUUCAAACUGGAUAUCUAGAGUGCAGGAGAGGAGAAUGGAAUUCCUAGUGUAGCGGUGAAAUGCGUAGAGAUUAGGAAGAACACCAGUGGCGAAGGCGAUUCUCUGGACUGUAACUGACGCUGAGGCACGAAAGCGUGGGUAGCAAACAGGAUUAGAUACCCUGGUAGUCCACGCCGUAAACGAUGAGUACUAGGUGUAGGAGGUAUCGACCCCUUCUGUGCCGCAGUAAACACAUUAAGUACUCCGCCUGGGAAGUACGAUCGCAAGAUUAAAACUCUAAAGUGAAUUGAC
RNAcentral lists this ribosomal RNA (545 nucleotides) under uncultured bacterium. RNAcentral's name for it is "partial 16S ribosomal RNA". It matches the Rfam family "Bacterial small subunit ribosomal RNA", at positions 355 to 914 of the family's 1533-position model. The record is from RNAcentral.